RNAcentral lists this ribosomal RNA (253 nucleotides) under uncultured bacterium. Its description in RNAcentral is "partial 16S ribosomal RNA". It matches the Rfam family "Bacterial small subunit ribosomal RNA", at positions 524 to 776 of the family's 1533-position model. The record is from RNAcentral.
UACAGAGGAUGCAAGCGUUAUCCGGAAUGAUUGGGCGUAAAGCGUCUGUAGGUGGCUUUUUAAGUCCGCCGUCAAAUCCCAGGGCUCAACUCUGGACAGGCGGUGGAAACUACCAAGCUGGAGUACGGUAGGGGCAGAGGGAAUUUCCGGUGGAGCGGUGAAAUGCGUAGAGAUCCGGAGGAACCCCAGAGGCGAAGGCGGCCCCCUGGCUCGUACCUGACGCUCAGCCACGAAAGCAUGGGGAGCGAACGGG